This 450-nucleotide ribosomal RNA is filed under the name uncultured bacterium. RNAcentral describes it as "partial 16S ribosomal RNA". It matches the Rfam family "Bacterial small subunit ribosomal RNA", at positions 338 to 795 of the family's 1533-position model. The record is from RNAcentral.
CCUACGGGUGGCUGCAGUCGAGAAUCUUCGGCAAUGGGCGCAAGCCUGACCGAGCGACGCCGCGUGCGGGAUGAAGGCCUUCGGGUUGUAAACCGCUGUCGAGGGGAAUGAAGUGCAGGUGGGUUCUCCCAUCUGUUUGACAGAUCCCUGGAGGAAGCAUGGGCUAAGUUCGUGCCAGCAGCCGCGGUAAGACGAACCAUGCAAACGUUAGUCGUUAUAACGUGGGUUGAAGCUCUUGUUAGUCGUCUGUGAAAGCCCUCAGCCCAACUGAGGAAUUGCGCUUGAUACUGCAUGACUAGAGAAUGAUAGAGGUGGGUGGAACUGAUGGUGGAGCGGUGAAAUGCGUUGAUAUCAUCAGGAACACCAGUGGCGAAGGCGACCCACUGGGUCAUUUCUGACGCUGAGGUACGAAAGCUAGGGUAGCGAACGGGAUUAGAUACCCUAGUAGUC